AGUGAACGCUAGCGGUAGGCCUAACACAUGCAAGUCGAACGGCAGCACAGGAGAGCUUGCUCUCUGGGUGGCGAGUGGCGGACGGGUGAGGAAUACAUCGGAAUCUACUCUGUCGUGGGGGAUAACGUAGGGAAACUUACGCUAAUACCGCAUACGACCUACGGGUGAAAGCAGGGGAUCUUCGGACCUUGCGCGAUUGAAUGAGCCGAUGUCGGAUUAGCUAGUUGGCGGGGUAAAGGCCCACCAAGGCGACGAUCCGUAGCUGGUCUGAGAGGAUGAUCAGCCACACUGGAACUGAGACACGGUCCAGACUCCUACGGGAGGCAGCAGUGGGGAAUAUUGGACAAUGGGCGCAAGCCUGAUCCAGCCAUACCGCGUGGGUGAAGAAGGCCUUCGGGUUGUAAAGCCCUUUUGUUGGGAAAGAAAUCCAGCUGGCUAAUACCCGGUUGGGAUGACGGUACCCAAAGAAUAAGCACCGGCUAACUUCGUGCCAGCAGCCGCGGUAA
Molecule: ribosomal RNA, 506 nt
Filed under: uncultured bacterium
Lineage: Bacteria
Description: partial 16S ribosomal RNA
Rfam family: Bacterial small subunit ribosomal RNA
Source: RNAcentral